CCUACGGGAGGCAGCAGUGGGGAAUAUUGGACAAUGGGCGCAAGCCUGAUCCAGCCAUGCCGCGUGUGUGAAGAAGGCUUUCGGGUUGUAAAGCACUUUAAGCGAGGAGGAAGGCGCCAGGGCUAAUACCUUUGGUGAUUGACGUUACUCGCAGAAUAAGCACCGGCUAACUCCGUGCCAGCAGCCGCGGUAAU
This 194-nucleotide ribosomal RNA is filed under the name uncultured Acinetobacter sp. RNAcentral describes it as "partial 16S ribosomal RNA". It matches the Rfam family "Bacterial small subunit ribosomal RNA", at positions 338 to 524 of the family's 1533-position model. The record is from RNAcentral. Lineage: Bacteria; Pseudomonadati; Pseudomonadota; Gammaproteobacteria; Moraxellales; Moraxellaceae.